This 564-nucleotide ribosomal RNA is filed under the name Choerophryne sp. SJR9852. RNAcentral's name for it is "partial 12S ribosomal RNA". The stretch from base 1 to 481 matches the Rfam family "Bacterial small subunit ribosomal RNA", at positions 853 to 1533 of the family's 1533-position model. The record is from RNAcentral. Lineage: Eukaryota; Metazoa; Chordata; Amphibia; Anura; Microhylidae.
UUAACCUACACUCCAACCACCCGGGAAUUACGAGCCCAAGCUUAAAACCCAAAGGACUUGACGGUGUCCUAUCCCCCUAGAGGAGCCUGUUCUAUAAUCGAUACCCCCCGAUCUACCUCACCGCUUCUUGACAUCAGUCUGUAUACCUCCGUCGCAAGCUUACCGUGUGAACGCACCCAGUAAGCUAAAAGAUUCAUCACCUACACGUCAGGUCAAGGUGCAACCUACGAAACGGAAAGAAAUGGGCUACAAUCUCUACUUUAGAACAAACGGAAAACUGUAUGAAAUACAGUUACUGAAGGCGGAUUUAGUAGUAAAAAGAAAAUAGAGUGUUCUUUUUAACCAGGCACUGGGACGCGUACACACCGCCCGUCACCCUCUUCAAACAAAUCAAAAAGUUAUUAACACCCCCCAAUCAUACAGAAGAGGCAAGUCGUAACAUGGUAAGUGUACUGGAAAGUGCGCUUGGAACAAAAUGUAGCUUAACUAAAAGCAUCUUGCUUACACCAAGAAUAUGCCUGCGAAAUCCUGACCAUUUUGAGCCUAACCUACAGCCCCCCCCCC